Molecule: transfer RNA, 74 nt
Filed under: Phycisphaerae bacterium SG8_4
Lineage: Bacteria; Pseudomonadati; Planctomycetota; Phycisphaerae
Also listed under: 2 other names
Description: tRNA-Arg
Rfam family: tRNA
About the family: Transfer RNA (tRNA) molecules are approximately 80 nucleotides in length. Their secondary structure includes four short double-helical elements and three loops (D, anti-codon, and T loops). Further hydrogen bonds mediate the characteristic L-shaped molecular structure. tRNAs have two regions of fundamental functional importance: the anti-codon, which is responsible for specific mRNA codon recognition, and the 3' end, to which the tRNAs corresponding amino acid is attached (by aminoacyl-tRNA synthetases). tRNAs cope with the degeneracy of the genetic code in two manners: having more than one tRNA (with a specific anti-codon) for a particular amino acid; and 'wobble' base-pairing, i.e. permitting non-standard base-pairing at the 3rd anti-codon position.
Source: RNAcentral
GUCCCCGUAGCUCAAUUGGAUAGAGCGUUGGCCUCCGGAGCCAAAGGUUGCGCGUUCGAGUCGCGCCGGGGAUA